GUUAGCUCCGACCUGCCUUGCUCUUCCCACUACAUUCUGUCCCAUUGCCUUGGCUUUUCCCCUCCGGACAUUCCGGGUAUUUUGUUCCCAGAGCUGCUGGGAAUAAGGCGCUUCCACUUUCAUUCUCUUAGAAAUUGGGAAAGCACCGCGGGAGUCUAAGGGGAUAAAAGCGAGGCGGAAGCCCGCAAAAACCUGACACCACACUCGGCGAAGCUGUUGCGGAGAAGUACGCCGAGGACGGCGCGGGCAGGGAAGAAGCCAGCUUAUUCCUGGAUUCCAGAGGUGUUGCUUGUAGUCACUCAUGUCCUGGUCUCCUCCCAGUUGGAGUAAUGUAAUGCACUCUACAUGGGCCUGCCUUUGAAGACCAUCCCAAAACUACAACUGGUCUGGAAUGUGGCAAUGCAUGAAGUUAUGGCUGUUCCAUAUUUUGUCCAUUUUAUACCACUGCUGUGCAAGCUGCACUGACUCCCGGUUUCUAGAUGCAGUCCAAGUGUUUUCACUGUUAUUAA
Molecule: non-coding RNA, 509 nt
Organism: Pseudonaja textilis
Lineage: Eukaryota; Metazoa; Chordata; Lepidosauria; Squamata; Elapidae
Source: RefSeq, a predicted model, not a curated record